This 64-nucleotide microRNA precursor is filed under the name Aedes aegypti (yellow fever mosquito). RNAcentral's name for it is "Aae-Mir-278_pre stem-loop". The record is from RNAcentral. Lineage: Eukaryota; Metazoa; Arthropoda; Insecta; Diptera; Culicidae.
ACGGACGAUAGUCUUCAGCGGCCGUGCAUUUGAUAGAAUUGGUCGGUGGGACUUUCGUCCGUUU